UGAUCCUGGCUCAGGACGAACGCUGGCGGCGUGCUUAACACAUGCAAGUCGAACGGUGAAGCCCAGCUUGCUGGGUGGAUCAGUGGCGAACGGGUGAGUAACACGUGAGCAACCUGCCCUCCACUUCGGGAUAAGCCUUGGAAACGGGGUCUAAUACCGGAUAUGAGCAUCCAUCGCAUGGUGGGUGUUGGAAAGUUUUUCGGUGGGGGAUGGGCUCGCGGCCUAUCAGCUUGUUGGUGGGGUGAUGGCCUACCAAGGCGUCGACGGGUAGCCGGCCUGAGAGGGCGACCGGCCACACUGGGACUGAGACACGGCCCAGACUCCUACGGGAGGCAGCAGUGGGGAAUAUUGCACAAUGGGCGAAAGCCUGAUGCAGCGACGCCGCGUGAGGGAUGACGGCCUUCGGGUUGUAAACCUCUUUCAGCAGGGAAGAAGCGCAAGUGACGGUACCUGCAGAAGAAGCGCCGGCUAACUACGUGCCAGCAGCCGCGGUAAUACGUAGGGCGCAAGCGUUGUCCGGAAUUAUUGGGCGUAAAGAGCUCGUAGGCGGUUUGUCGCGUCUGGUGUGAAAUCCCGAGGCUCAACCUCGGGCUUGCAUCGGGUACGGGCAGACUAGAGUGCGGUAGGGGAGACUGGAAUUCCUGGUGUAGCGGUGGAAUGCGCAGAUAUCAGGAGGAACACCGAUGGCGAAGGCAGGUCUCUGGGCCGCAACUGACGCUGAGGAGCGAAAGCAUGGGGAGCGAACAGGAUU
Molecule: ribosomal RNA, 751 nt
Filed under: uncultured Promicromonosporaceae bacterium
Lineage: Bacteria; Bacillati; Actinomycetota; Actinomycetes; Micrococcales; Promicromonosporaceae
Description: bacterial SSU rRNA
Rfam family: Bacterial small subunit ribosomal RNA
Source: RNAcentral